RNAcentral lists this ribosomal RNA (492 nucleotides) under uncultured bacterium. RNAcentral's name for it is "partial 16S ribosomal RNA". It matches the Rfam family "Bacterial small subunit ribosomal RNA", at positions 29 to 507 of the family's 1533-position model. The record is from RNAcentral.
AGUGAACGCUGGCGGUAGGCCUAACACAUGCAAGUCGAACGGCAGCACAGUAAGAGCUUGCUCUUACGGGUGGCGAGUGGCGGACGGGUGAGGAAUACAUCGGAAUCUACUUUUUCGUGGGGGAUAACGUAGGGAAACUUACGCUAAUACCGCAUACGACCUACGGGUGAAAGCAGGGGAUCUUCGGACCUUGCGCGAUUGAAUGCGCCGAUGUCGGAUUAGCUAGUUGGCGGGGUAAAGGCCCACCAAGGCGACGAUCCGUAGCUGGUCUGAGAGGAUGAUCAGCCACACUGGAACUGAGACACGGUCCAGACUCCUACGAGAGGCAGCAGUGGGGAAUAGGGGACAAUGGGCGCAAGCCUGAUCCAGCCAUACCGCGUGGGUGAAGAAGGCCUUCGGGUUGUAAAGCCCUUUUGUUGGGAAAGAAAAGCAGCAGGUUAAUACCCCGCUGUUCUGACGGUACCCAAAGAAUAAGCACCGGCUAACUUCGUG